AACACAUGCAAGUCGAGCGGUAACAGGGGAGCUUGCUCUGGGUGACGAGCGGCGGACGGGUGAGUAAUGUCUGGGAAACUGCCUGAUGGAGGGGGAUAACUACUGGAAACGGUAGCUAAUACCGCAUAACGUCGCAAGACCAAAGAGGGGGACCUUCGGGCCUCUUGCCAUCAGAUGUGCCCAGAUGGGAUUAGCUAGUAGGUGGGGUAAUGGCUCACCUAGGCGACGAUCCCUAGCUGGUCUGAGAGGAUGACCAGCCACACUGGAACUGAGACACGGUCCAGACUCCUAUGGGAGGCAGCAGUGGGGAAUAUUGCACAAUGGGCGCAAGCCUGAUGCAGCCAUGCCGCGUGUGUGAAGAAGGCCUUCGGGUUGUAAAGCACUUUCAGCGAGGAGGAAGGUGGUGAGCUUAAUACGCUCAUCAAUUGACGUUACUCGCAGAAGAAGCACCGGCUAACUCCGUGCCAGCAGCCGCGGUAAUACGGAGGGUGCAAGCGUUAAUCGGAAUUACUGGGCGUAAAGCGCACGCAGGCGGUUUGUUAAGUCAGAUGUGAAAUCCCCGGGCUCAACCUGGGAACUGCAUUUGAAACUGGCAAGCUAGAGUCUCGUAGAGGGGGGUAGAAUUCCAGGUGUAGCGGUGAAAUGCGUAGAGAUCUGGAGGAAUACCGGUGGCGAAGGCGGCCCCCUGGACGAAGACUGACGCUCAGGUGCGAAAG
This 716-nucleotide ribosomal RNA is filed under the name uncultured gamma proteobacterium TIHP368-66. RNAcentral's name for it is "bacterial SSU rRNA". It matches the Rfam family "Bacterial small subunit ribosomal RNA", at positions 50 to 759 of the family's 1533-position model. Lineage: Bacteria; Pseudomonadati; Pseudomonadota; Gammaproteobacteria. The record is from RNAcentral.